This 255-nucleotide ribosomal RNA is filed under the name uncultured prokaryote. Its description in RNAcentral is "partial 16S ribosomal RNA". It matches the Rfam family "Bacterial small subunit ribosomal RNA", at positions 525 to 777 of the family's 1533-position model. The record is from RNAcentral.
ACGUAGGACCCAAGCGUUAUCCGGAGUGACUGGGCGUAAAGAGUUGCGUAGGUGGCUUGUAAAGCAAAUAGUGAAAUCUGGUGGCUCAACCAUUCAGGCUAUUAUUUGAACUCACAAGCUCGAGAACAGCAGAGGUAACUGGAAUUUCUGAAGUAGGGGUAAUAUCCGUAGAUAUCAGAAGGAACACCAAUGGCGUAGGCAGGUUACUGGGCUGUUUCUGACACUGAGGCACGAAAGCGUGGGGAGCGAACCGGA